UGGCUCAGUGGUAGAGUGCUUGCCUAGCACACAUGAAGCCCUGGGUUCAAUUCCUAG
Molecule: transfer RNA, 57 nt
Filed under: Dipodomys ordii (Ord's kangaroo rat)
Lineage: Eukaryota; Metazoa; Chordata; Mammalia; Rodentia; Heteromyidae
Rfam family: tRNA
About the family: Transfer RNA (tRNA) molecules are approximately 80 nucleotides in length.
Source: Rfam by way of RNAcentral